GGAGGAUCAAAAUAUCUCUUCAAUUGCCUUAAGCAAUCCCUUAAGUCAAACAUCAAUCAUAGAAAAGUCAACUGUAAAGUCAAGUCAACUUGAAAAUUAUCAAAUAAAUAGUAAAUUAAUUCAAUAAAUUAUGAAAAAUUAAACUAGCUAAGGUGGGGUCAGGACAUCAUCAUCCCCCAAAAAUAUUUUAAAAAUAAUGUGAAUUAGUGUAUAAAAUAAUUGAAAUAAAACAGAAGUCAAAUG
RNAcentral lists this long non-coding RNA (243 nucleotides) under Lathyrus oleraceus (garden pea). RNAcentral's name for it is "Pisum sativum (pea) long non-coding RNA (PSAT_LNC022957)". Lineage: Eukaryota; Viridiplantae; Streptophyta; Magnoliopsida; Fabales; Fabaceae. The record is from RNAcentral.